RNAcentral lists this ribosomal RNA (696 nucleotides) under Salmonella enterica subsp. enterica serovar Senftenberg. RNAcentral describes it as "partial 23S ribosomal RNA". It matches the Rfam family "Bacterial large subunit ribosomal RNA", at positions 2107 to 2802 of the family's 2925-position model. The record is from RNAcentral. Lineage: Bacteria; Pseudomonadati; Pseudomonadota; Gammaproteobacteria; Enterobacterales; Enterobacteriaceae. RNAcentral also lists the same sequence under 3 other names.
UAGCUUGACACUGAACAUUGAGCCUUGAUGUGUAGGAUAGGUGGGAGGCUUUGAAGUGUGGACGCCAGUCUGCAUGGAGCCGACCUUGAAAUACCACCCUUUAAUGUUUGAUGUUCUAACGUGGACCCGUAAUCCGGGUUGCGGACAGUGUCUGGUGGGUAGUUUGACUGGGGCGGUCUCCUCCUAAAGAGUAACGGAGGAGCACGAAGGUUGGCUAAUCCUGGUCGGACAUCAGGAGGUUAGUGCAAUGGCAUAAGCCAGCUUGACUGCGAGCGUGACGGCGCGAGCAGGUGCGAAAGCAGGUCAUAGUGAUCCGGUGGUUCUGAAUGGAAGGGCCAUCGCUCAACGGAUAAAAGGUACUCCGGGGAUAACAGGCUGAUACCGCCCAAGAGUUCAUAUCGACGGCGGUGUUUGGCACCUCGAUGUCGGCUCAUCACAUCCUGGGGCUGAAGUAGGUCCCAAGGGUAUGGCUGUUCGCCAUUUAAAGUGGUACGCGAGCUGGGUUUAGAACGUCGUGAGACAGUUCGGUCCCUAUCUGCCGUGGGCGCUGGAGAACUGAGGGGGGCUGCUCCUAGUACGAGAGGACCGGAGUGGACGCAUCACUGGUGUUCGGGUUGUCAUGCCAAUGGCACUGCCCGGUAGCUAAAUGCGGAAGAGAUAAGUGCUGAAAGCAUCUAAGCACGAAACUUGCCCCGA